RNAcentral lists this ribosomal RNA (460 nucleotides) under uncultured bacterium. Its description in RNAcentral is "partial 16S ribosomal RNA". It matches the Rfam family "Bacterial small subunit ribosomal RNA", at positions 338 to 795 of the family's 1533-position model. The record is from RNAcentral.
CCUACGGGAGGCAGCAGUGAGGAAUAUUGGUCAAUGGCCGGAAGGCUGAACCAGCCAUGCCGCGUGAAGGUCAGUGCCCUAUGGGCGUUAAACUUCUUUUGUGCGGGAGCAAUAAUGGUCACGUGUGGCCAGACGAGAGUACCGUACGAAUAAGCAUCGGCUAACUUCGUGCCAGCAGCCGCGGUAAUACGGGGGAUGCAAGCGUUAUCCGGGUUUAUUGGGUUUAAAGGGUGCGUAGGCUGUGAGGUAAGUCAGCGGUGAAAUGCCCACGCUCAACGGGGUGAAGUGCCAUUGAUACUGCCUGGCUGGAAUGCGGAUGCCGUGGGAGGAAUGUGUGGUGUAGCGGUGAAAUGCAUAGAUAUCACACAGAACACCGAUUGCGAAGGCAUCUCACGAAUCCGCGAUUGACGCUGAUGCACGAAAGCGUGGGUAUCAAACAGGAUUAGAUACCCGGGUAGUC